Long non-coding RNA from Asparagus officinalis (garden asparagus), 325 nucleotides. RefSeq lists it as uncharacterized. The record is from RefSeq and is a predicted model, not a curated record. The transcript has 3 exons. NCBI's taxonomy places the organism in Eukaryota, Viridiplantae, Streptophyta, Magnoliopsida, Asparagales, Asparagaceae.
UCGUCACCGCUCCCUCUCUCUCUCUCUCCAACCUCUAAUCUCUAGUUCACUUGCCCAUAAUCCCUCAUCAUCGGCAGUUUUUGGAGCUCGAAGCCGACGAACACGAAUUCCUCGUUCCCUUGCGUCUAAUCCCUCGUUAGUGACGAUUUUUGGUGCCUGAAGUCGACGAAGAUGAACAGGUUUACAAGUGGGGGUAAGGUGAAUGAUUUCACGUUGAUGAAUUAAAGUUAAAGAGGUUCUAAAAAUGCUUCUCCUCGGGCUACCAGACUACAAGAAAGAAGAAGAAAAAAGAACGUUGAUAGAUUGCAAUCUGUUGGAGAUGCUA